This 314-nucleotide long non-coding RNA is filed under the name Cricetulus griseus (Chinese hamster). RNAcentral's name for it is "lncRNA (ENSCGRG00015004693.2)". The record is from RNAcentral. Lineage: Eukaryota; Metazoa; Chordata; Mammalia; Rodentia; Cricetidae.
CAGGUACUGUCCCACUGGCCUCAAAGCCUCCAUACAGCCUCUCCCUUGGGCCACCCCUGCCACAACUCAUCAAGGCCAAGGCACCUUACCUUCCUCAGCAGUAUGAAACAUGUGUGCAGUGGUUGAAUGCUAAGUCUAGAAAUGCAGAAGAGUCUAUGAAGUCUGAUGAAUCAGCAGCCAGGGUACAGUCUAUUUUCCAAAUAACACAAGAAAGUUGAGAUAUUUUCAUACCCAGGACCUGUGAAAUACUCACUCUCCAGAGUUUUAUCAUUGACACUUUGGUUACUUCAUUGAGCUGAAAUUUAAAAGAAAAU